RNAcentral lists this ribosomal RNA (492 nucleotides) under uncultured bacterium. RNAcentral's name for it is "partial 16S ribosomal RNA". It matches the Rfam family "Bacterial small subunit ribosomal RNA", at positions 29 to 507 of the family's 1533-position model. The record is from RNAcentral.
AGUGAACGCUGGCGGUAGGCCUAACACAUGCAAGUCGAACGGCAGCACAGUAAGAGCUUGCUCUUACGGGUGGCGAGUGGCGGACGGGUGAGGAAUACAUCGGAAUCUACUUUUUCGUGGGGGAUAACGUAGGGAAACUUACGCUAAUACAGCAUACGACCUACGGGUGAAAGCAGGGGAUCUUCGGACCUUGCGCGAUUGAAUGAGCCGAUGUCGGAUUAGCUAGUUGGCGGGGUAAAGGCCCACCAAGGCGACGAUCCGUAGCUGGUCUGAGAGGAUGAUCAGCCACACUGGAACUGAGACACGGUCCAGACUCCUACGGGAGGCAGCAGUGGGGAACAUUGGACAAUGGGCGCAAGCCUGAUCCAGCCAUACCGCGUGGGUGAAGAAGGCCUUCGGGUUGUAAAGCCCUUUUGUUGGGAAAGAAAAGCAGCAGGUUAAUACCCCGCUGUUCUGACGGUACCCAAAGAAUAAGCACCGGCUAACUUCGUG